RNAcentral lists this long non-coding RNA (738 nucleotides) under Setaria viridis. RNAcentral's name for it is "long non-coding RNA (SVIR_LNC009334)". The record is from RNAcentral. Lineage: Eukaryota; Viridiplantae; Streptophyta; Magnoliopsida; Poales; Poaceae.
CGAAAGUAAGAAAUAGAUCUAAAGUAAAUGUAUUACUAAUAAAGGAAAGAUUCAGUGAUGACCUCUGGGAUGAAGUUCCUUGUAGUCGGCGGGAUCGCCGGUGCAGCUGCGGAGGAUGAGGCCGCCAUUGGGAUCUCGGAAGAAGCUUCGACUUUCGCUAAUGGAGCUCCUUCUUCCGACGACGGGGCCACCACUGUCGCUGUCUCCGCCGAAGACGCUAUUUCUUGAGCUUCGCACGCGGGUGAGGUGCCUGAAGGUGCCGCCAUUGGAGGGGGAGGAAGGAAAGUGACAGGAAGACGGUGCCGGAAAGCUGUGGAACUAAGGAAAAAUGCUGGAGGAAGAAGAAGGCUCGUGCGCUGGGGAAGAAGGACGUGAUCUCGAAAGGGAAGUGCGGGAUGUGCUGAUAUUUAAAGGGGGCCUGAGGAAGGGUAAAAAUGGAAUUUUUACCGCACCGGCGUUUCGAGUUUUUCGGGGGUAGUGGUUGUCGUGGGCGCCCAUUUCGAAAAGAUUGCAAUCAUCAGGUUGAAGACCGCGAAACGGAAGGAUAUUUUCAUUGCGGUUGUUUCAGAAGGGAAGUUGAAAAGAAUUUCGAAGUAAAGACUAUGUUUUACUCCGAAACUGGGGGGCAUGUGUUGACGCCAGAUUUUGACACGAGUAAAAUUGGCGUCAGGAGAGGAAGAAAUUGGAAGAUACAACAAGAUACAGGGGUGACAAUUGGAAAUCGGCCGAAUGGCGCUA